This is a long non-coding RNA of Gossypium arboreum, 544 nucleotides long. RefSeq lists it as uncharacterized. The record is from RefSeq and is a predicted model, not a curated record. NCBI's taxonomy places the organism in Eukaryota, Viridiplantae, Streptophyta, Magnoliopsida, Malvales, Malvaceae. The transcript has 2 exons.
AGCCAGUUUUUUAAUAAAAGGGGGGGGGGGAGCUAUUAACCCACUCUACUAGGGUUUCAUUUAGCUCACAGCCGCCGAACCACCUUCAUGCUUGGUGGCUGACGGCGCACGAAUAGCGACCGGAUCUUGUCGCUGGAGGCCACAACUAUGGAGAUCUAGUCUAUGGAGGAGGUCAACAGGGCAGAGGCUUCCUUUUUGGUGCAAAGGACGGGUAGAGCCGUCCCUCGAGCGAUGUUUGCACUGAGAAUGCACAUGGCUGGCAGAAGGAAGGCGCGGCGCUAGGGUUUCGGUUGGCUGAACUUGGUUUAGGCAUCGGUCCUAUCGGGCUUAGGUCUUUCUUUUAAUUUUGGGCCUAUUAGGUUGUAAUUUUGGCUGAGUUUAAUUGGGUUUGAUGUUUGGGUUGAUGUAAUGGGUUUGGAUUGGCCUUUUAAUGGGCUUAUUAUUUGGUUUAUUUAUGGCUUAGUCGGCCGGGCAAAAUUUGGGUUGUACACAUGUUAUUAAUUGAAUUGUUGUAUAUAUAUGACUUGUAUUAUAAGUUUUGAUA